This 407-nucleotide ribosomal RNA is filed under the name Sicarius gracilis. RNAcentral describes it as "partial 16S ribosomal RNA". The stretch from base 70 to 364 matches the Rfam family "Bacterial large subunit ribosomal RNA", at positions 2074 to 2646 of the family's 2925-position model. The record is from RNAcentral. Lineage: Eukaryota; Metazoa; Arthropoda; Arachnida; Araneae; Sicariidae.
CACGACUUAUAACCUUUCUAUAAUUUACCUCAUGAAUCUUACCUAAAAGUAAAAAGGCUUUUAUAAACAAGAAGGACAACAAGACCCUGACGAGCUUUACAAAAUUUAGCUGGGGCAGCUAACAAACAAAAAUCUUGUACACCUCAACAUACAGACCCGGAACAACCGAACAAAAAUCAAGCUACCGCAGGGAUAACAGCGAAACUAGAAUAAAGAGACCCUAUCCAAAUUCUAUCCUUCGACCUCGAUGUUGAAUUAACGUCACUAUACUUAGCAAAAAAAGUACAAGUAGGUCUGUUCGACCUCUAACACGUUACAUGAUUUGAGUUCAGACCGGCGCAAGCCAGGUCAGCUUAUAUCCUCUUCAAAGUCAGUAUUAGUACGAAAGGACCAUACAAAAAAUUCGA